UAACACAUGCCGCAGUUUUGACUG
This 24-nucleotide non-coding RNA is filed under the name Mus musculus (house mouse). Lineage: Eukaryota; Metazoa; Chordata; Mammalia; Rodentia; Muridae. The record is from RNAcentral.